UAAGCAGUGAUAGUGUGUAUUGGUGUUAUUAUGUGUUUAUUACAUUUUUCUGAAAGUAUUCCUUACUAAAUUAUUUUGAUAAAUGAACAGUUGUGUUUCAUUUUUUUGGUUGAGAAUCACAACAAUUUGUUUCCGACCUACA
Vicia villosa (hairy vetch) is the source of this 142-nucleotide small nucleolar RNA. RefSeq annotates it as small nucleolar RNA snoR135. NCBI's taxonomy places the organism in Eukaryota, Viridiplantae, Streptophyta, Magnoliopsida, Fabales, Fabaceae. The record is from RefSeq and is a predicted model, not a curated record. The transcript has a single exon.